AGAGAAGCCACUGACAGCACAGGCCAAGGCGGAGACGGUGGAGGAACAGGGUGGUGAAUCCUCAAUUAACGGGAUGCUCAGGGAAGCCAUGCAGGCUGCGUAAAGCUGUUGUGAAAGGCCGCAUUUAGAAUAGACGCAGCAGCCUCUCAGCGCUAUCACUAACUUCAGCAGGCAGAAAGGCAGUUUCAGAGUUCUAGUCAGUGGUGAGAUGGGAGAUUAUUUCCUCUGGAAACCCUGAAUCUGUCUCUCUGAAAGCAUCUUCAUACUGUUAAAGGACUUGCUUAAUGGUAUGGCUCAGAGGUUCCAAAACUCAGUUUCUGAAACUAAUUCAAAAUGUGCGCUCAAGAAACAAAAGGAAAGAAACAAUCACGAGCAAAAAUACCAAAGACAUAAUGAUUUCAACUAAUGUCAAAUUCCCCGAGGAACCAGGGAGCUUGUCAAUAUUUGGGGAAAGGUGAAAGAACAUAGAAUAUCCUUUUUUCCGAGUAAUAUUAUUGAAUUUAAUAAUUUAGUGGAAAUGUUCAUUUAAUUAUGCAUUAAUGGGUAUGUAGUGAUCAUUUUUACAAAGUGCCAGGCGUGGUUGCUAGGCACAAGAGCUACUAAGAAGAAAGACACACCUCUGAAGUUAAAGAACAUUUAUUAGUCUUCUUGGAGUGAAUACCAAAACUUCCUGUGAUAAGACACAGACACCAGAAAGCUUUAAAAGAGUGAUUUAAGGAGGUAACCAGCACUUGCAGCCAACACUAUUAUGACUCCCUCAAGAUGUACACACACUGGAAUAAGCAUAAACAUUUACAAGGACAGGAAAAUUGAAUUCCUGAAAAUAUAUACCAAGCUGUAUUUUCACAAAUAAUCUUGUUUAUAGAUGCAUCAAUAUUCCUUGAGACUUGUUUGCAAUCACAGUUGUCCUCAGAGUUUUGAAGGCUUGUCAGAUGUUAAAGGAUUAGCCUUGGUCAGUAUAACUCUAGGAUAUUAACAUUCACUGGGCACCUACAUCUGAUUGGAAUCAUGCUAGGGGCUAGAGAAACAAAGAGAAGACACAUCCCUUUUCCCCUAGGCCUCAGAGUCUAAAGGGGGAGAGAAGCAAGUAAACACUCCAUUACAGUAAGUCCAUAUUGUAACUGGCAGGACAGACAUACACACAACCUGCUGUAGGAGCCAAAGGACGAGACUCUACAACCACGAGAUUGAGUAACCAGGAGACUGUCCGCAGCUCGUGUCUAAAUGCCUAGCUGAAAUCCAGAGAUGUCCAGCAGAGGAAUGGGUCAGAAUUGUCAGCAUCCUCAUAGAUGGUACACGCUUCUCCAGCUACCGUUAGUCCAGGAGGCACCUUACGCUUGAUCGUCACUCUCCGAUACUGGCCUCUGCCACCUUCCACAGUUGUGAAAUUUCCUUCCUCUUCCUCUUCUUUCUGCCAUGGUUUUUCUUUUUUUCUUUGAAGUUAAAUAGUGCAUUUUAUUGCAAAUACAAAAAUUUUCUGUUAUGA
Molecule: long non-coding RNA, 1486 nt
Filed under: Equus asinus (donkey)
Lineage: Eukaryota; Metazoa; Chordata; Mammalia; Perissodactyla; Equidae
Description: lncRNA (ENSEASG00005031676.1)
Source: RNAcentral